GCAGCAGCAGGAUACCAGAGGAAGAAAUCAUCAUGGCAUUACUAGAAUCAUUAAGCACCCAACAAAGAUUGAAUCAUUAGCUAAACCAUGCGUAUGGAUAAGUGCAUUAGUUCUCAAGCAACUUGAUUCAAUUUCUUUUGCUAGGCCUGCAAAAUCAAAUAAUUUGACAGACCACAAUGGCCAAUAUAUGCAGCCAACCAUUUUAUUUUCUUAAGCAAUCUCAGUGUAAGGGGAAUUGGAAAAUUCAAGAGAUGGAUCAUCCUCUGAUCAUUCAUGGUCAUCGGCUGCUUGCAGCUUCUCUACUUCUACUCGUUAACUUGUCCGAAUCUUCUCCACUGCUUCAAGGUAACUCAAUAUUAUUACGGCUUUUAUUUAGUAACGUGAAACAUUGAUCGUAAUUUCUUUUAUCUUGUUCCUUAAAUGUAGGAAAAAGCUUCCCCCUCAUGACUUCAGAUGUCAAUGAGGUCUCAGGAAAGUCCUUUGAUUACAUUGUUGUUGGGGGAGGCACAGCGGGUUGCUCCCUGGCAGCAACCCUUUCAGAGAAAUUCUCUGUGUUAGUGGUAGAAAGAGGAGGCUCCCCUUAUGGAAACCCUUUGGUGGCAAAUAAGAUGUACUAUGGUUUCUCACUGCUCCAAACUGAUGAAUUUUCAUCAGUGGCUCAAAGCUUCAUAUCAAAGGAUGGUGUUAUUGGACACAGAGGAAGAGUACUUGGCGGAUCAUCAGCCAUAAAUGGAGGCUUCUAUAGCAGAGCUAGUGAUGAUUUUGUUAAAAGGGUUGGGUGGGAUGAAGAGCUUGUAAAGGAAGCUUAUGAAUGGGUGGAGUACAAAAUUGUUUCCAAGCCUGAGCUGACGAUAUGGCAAUCUGUUGUUGAAUUUGGUCUCCUUGAAGCCGGAUUUCUUCCUUACAAUGGGUUCAGCUGGGAACAUAUUGAGGGAACAAAGAUCGGUGGGACUAUGUUUGAUGAAUUUGGAAUAAGGCACACAUCAGCUGAUCUUCUGGGUGCAGGGAAUCCAGAAAAUAUCACAGUUCUGUUGACUGCAACAGUACAGAAUAUCAUUUUCUACAGCAAUCGUAAACGGAACGAUACAGCAGCUCGUGGCAUUAGGUUCAUCAAGAGCGACGGUAGCAGUGAUCAAACUUACGAAGCUUACCUUAACCAACCGGAGAAUUCGAUUUCAAGGGGAGAUGUCAUUUUGUCAGCAGGAGCAUUAGGCAGUCCCCAAAUCCUAAUGUUAAGUGGCAUAGGACCACAGAAGCACCUCAAGAAUUUCGGUAUCCCAGUUGUGUUGGACUUGAAAGGGGUAGGACGAGAGAUGAAAGACAACCCUGCCAUUUCCCUUUUAGCAGACACAAAAGCAGAAUAUCGGCUGCCAGAUACGCCUCAAGUUGCAGGCAUUGCAAAAGACUUCAAAUUCAUAGUACAAGGAGGAAUCUUACCUAUAAGCUUCAAUGCAACAAGGAUGCCAAUUGCAAUCAAGCUUGCAUUUCCAGAAUCUAAAGGGAGGCUGAAAUUGAACAGCACAGACCCCAGGGAAAACCCUUCAGUGCAAUUCAACUAUCUAGCUAAGGAAAACGACAUGGAUGGAUGCACCGAGAUGGCUCAAGUGCUUGAAAGGGUGACAAGUUCUGAAUCAGUUGCUCUGUUCCUGAAGACUGUAACCCAGAAUAAGUUGAUGUCCACUCCUCAUGAGCUGAGAAAUUUCUGCAAGAAGAACGUUAGGACCUACUAUCACUACCAUGGUGGUUGUACUGUUGGAUCAGUUGUUGACAAGGAUUACAAACUCCAUGGAGUGAAGGGUUUAAGGGUAAUAGAUGGAUCAACUUUCUUGGAAUCCCCAGGCACAAACCCAAUGGCUACCCUGUUAAUGCUGGGAAGGUAUCAAGGGAUCAAGAUUAUAAGAGAGCGAGAGAAUGAUUCUGUAUUUACUAGUCAAGAACACCCAUAGCUAAAAACUUGGCCUCAGCUGUACUCAUCACCAUGAAAGAAUAUUUAAUAUUAUCUUCUCUUCCUGGCAAGCACGGUUCUUUGGAAUCAAUUCAAUAUAACUAACCUUUAUUCCCUUUUACACAAUCUGAGCUGCAUAAUUUUUGUUGGACUAAACCCAAAUUUACAAAGGCAAUAUUACAUCAUUAGAUUCUUCCUAAUGGUUUGAAUUUCCAAGAUUUUGAUUUAAUUUAUUAUGAAAUGAAAACUGCUAUAAAUAAGGACAAAAAAAUAUACAUCUUUAUUUGUUAUCGAAGAUGAAACACAAAUGAUCUGUAUGCACAUGCUAUUAAAAAAAGUAACACACAAAGAAAAACCUUACAAAAAUUUAUCCGACUCUAGCCCUCCGUUUCUUGAUCAAGCCCUGGACUUGAAGAAAAGACAUCAUUAGAAUUACUUGAAGGUUGAUUUGAAUCCUCACUUCUCCUAUUACUAUUGAAAGAAAAACUAACCCAAAUUUCUCUUUCCAAUCUUCUCCUCUCUCUACCUUCUUCUUCCUCCUCCCUUUUCUUGCCUAAAUCCACCUCAUCAACAGGCAUCUUAUACCUGCAAACAGGGCAAGACCCAUGAAUCCCCAACCACUUCUCUAUACAAUUAGCAUGAAACCUAUGUUUACAGGGCAUCUCCUUUGCCAACCCACCAAGCUCCCACUCUUCUAAACAGAUAGCACACUGGCCCUCCUUAUCUCCAAUUUCUGCAAUCUCCACAGUAGGCAUGGCCCCUAUGGAUGCCUUUGAGGCAGGAGGCUGACCAUUCUUGGUAGCCAACUCUCUAAGAAGAGAAUCCAAGCUCUCAGAUCCUUCAAUCACCACCAUGCCUUGAGUGAAAGGGUUGAUAAGGAUGAUUCUUUCAUGUGGGGUGGCUGUCUGUGGCGUUUCUUGACCUGGAUCACUCUGGGUGGCAGUGCCUGCAAAGCCCAAGAAGAAAGGCAAAAACAAAGAGAGAUCUCUAUGCCUUAACAUCCUCUCAAAAGCAGAAGACGAUCCAGGUAGUUGAGUCUCAGAGGCCAUGUUAGAAAUCUUGAAAAAGGAGAGAGAAAGAUGAAGAAUUUAGAAUUGAAUAAUGAGAGGGGAGACAAUACCAGAUGAAGUAACGGAGAAGGAGAACAAUAUAAGAGGAAAGACGGGCGGCCACAGAGAAGACAAGAAGGUAGUAGAAAGAUCUGGAAUCUGCGUUGGCUACAAUAUAUUGCUUACGUUGCUCCGCUAUUGAUGUUUACCUCGUCACCUAAGCCCGUCUCUCACCACACGAUCGAUGAGAAGAUAUUUUAGAGGCAUAAUACGCCG
Molecule: unclassified non-coding RNA, 3270 nt
Filed under: Hevea brasiliensis (rubber tree)
Lineage: Eukaryota; Viridiplantae; Streptophyta; Magnoliopsida; Malpighiales; Euphorbiaceae
Source: RNAcentral